CUCAGGAUGAACGCUAGCGGCAGGCCUAACACAUGCAAGUCGAGGGGUAACAAGUCUAGCUUGCUAGAUGUUGACGACCGGCGCACGGGUGCGCAACGCGUAUACAAUCUACCCCCUACUGUGGGAUAGCCCAGAGAAAUUUGGAUUAAGACCACAUGGUACCAUUUUACGGCAUCGUAUUAAUGGUUAAAGGUUACGGUAGGGGAUGAGUAUGCGUCCCAUUAGUUAGUUGGCGAGGUAACGGCUCACCAAGACCGCGAUGGGUAGGGGCCCUGAGAGGGGGAUCCCCCACACUGGUACUGAGACACGGACCAGACUCCUACGGGAGGCAGCAGUGAGGAAUAUUGGACAAUGGGCGGGAGCCUGAUCCAGCCAUGCCGCGUGCAGGAAGAAUGCCCUAUGGGUAGUAAACUGCUUUUAUACGGGAAGAAAAAGAGCUACGUGUAGCUUACUGACGGUACCGUAAGAAUAAGGACCGGCUAACUCCGUGCCAGCAGCCGCGGUAAUACGGAGGGUCCGAGCGUUAUCCGGAAUUAUUGGGUUUAAAGGGUCCGUAGGCGGGCCGAUAAGUCAGUGGUGAAAGUUUGCAGCUCAACUGUAAAAUUGCCUUUGAUACUGUCGGUCUUGAGUUAUAGUGAAGUUGCCGGAAUAUGUAGUGUAGCGGUGAAAUGCAUAGAUAUUACAUAGAACACCGAUUGCGAAGGCAGGUGACUAACUAUAUACUGACGCUGAUGGACGAAAGCGUGGGGAGCGAACAGGAUUAGAUACCCUGGUAGU
This 777-nucleotide ribosomal RNA is filed under the name Zobellia sp. MAR_2009_138. RNAcentral's name for it is "bacterial SSU rRNA". It matches the Rfam family "Bacterial small subunit ribosomal RNA", at positions 23 to 794 of the family's 1533-position model. The record is from RNAcentral. Lineage: Bacteria; Pseudomonadati; Bacteroidota; Flavobacteriia; Flavobacteriales; Flavobacteriaceae.